RNAcentral lists this ribosomal RNA (497 nucleotides) under uncultured bacterium. Its description in RNAcentral is "partial 16S ribosomal RNA". It matches the Rfam family "Bacterial small subunit ribosomal RNA", at positions 28 to 507 of the family's 1533-position model. The record is from RNAcentral.
GAUGAACGCUGGCGGCGUGCCUAAUACAUGCAAGUCGAGCGAACAUACGAGGAGCUUGCUCCUCUGACUUUAGCGGCGGACGGGUGAGUAACACGUGGAUAACCUACCUAUAAGACUGGGAUAACUUCGGGAAACCGGAGCUAAUACCGGAUAAUAUAUUGAACCGCAUGGUUCAAUAGUGAAAGACGGUUUUGCUUUCACUUAUAGAUGGAUCCGCGCCGCAUUAGCUAGUUGGUGAGGUAACGGCUUACCAAGGCGACGAUGCGUAGCCGACCUGAGAGGGUGAUCGGCCACACUGGAACUGAGACACGGUCCAGACUCCUACGGGAGGCAGCAGUAGGGAAUCUUCCGCAAUGGGCGAAAGCCUGACGGAGCAACGCCGCGUGAGUGAUGAAGGUCUUCGGAUCGUAAAACUCUGUUAUUAGGGAAGAACAAAUGUGUAAGUAACUAUGCACGUCUUGACGGUACCUAAUCAGAAAGCCACGGCUAACUACGUG